UACAGAGGAGCCAAGCGUUGUCCGGAUUGACUGGGCGUAAAGCGCACGCAGGCGGUUGCGCGCGUGGGGUGUGAAAUCUGGCCGCUUAACGGCCAGGCGCCAUCCCAUACGGCGCGACUGGAGGGCUGCAGAGGUCGAUGGAAUUGCCGGUGUAGUGGUGAAAUGCGUAGAGAUCGGCAGGAACACCCAGGGGGAAACCAGUCGACUGGGCAGCACCUGACGCUGAGGUGCGAGAGCGGUGGGGAGCGAACCGG
RNAcentral lists this ribosomal RNA (254 nucleotides) under uncultured bacterium. RNAcentral describes it as "partial 16S ribosomal RNA". It matches the Rfam family "Bacterial small subunit ribosomal RNA", at positions 524 to 776 of the family's 1533-position model. The record is from RNAcentral.